Long non-coding RNA from Daphnia carinata, 1944 nucleotides. RefSeq lists it as uncharacterized. The record is from RefSeq and is a predicted model, not a curated record. Lineage: Eukaryota; Metazoa; Arthropoda; Branchiopoda; Diplostraca; Daphniidae. The transcript has 7 exons.
AUUCGUUAUUACAAGCAUGUAUGCUAUCUCUGUUCAUUGUAUGCCAUUUGCAAUUUUGCAUUUAAUUGAGUAGCGUGGCUGGAGAAAAAUAUUAAAAAAUGGAUAAGAUAAUAAAAGCUAAGGAUGAUCAAAUUAUGAAGCUGCAGGCUCAAUUAUUGCAGCAGCACAGAAUAUUAGAUGACAACAAAACUAAGAAUGCUCAAAUUUUGAGUCUACAAGCUUAAUUACUGGGAGAAAACAAUUUAGAACGGGACACUUUCCAAACAGUGAAGGAGGUAUUUCAAAACUCAUCCCUAACUGAACGUGAGAAUGAGUUGGCAUUAGGCGAACACAGUCAGUUAAUCAGUCCACCACCUGACAGUGUGUUAAAUUUAAAUUCUGUUAGUGCUGCUCUAAAAGAAUCGUUAGUAAUCAGUCCAUGCAGCGAAGGAACUGUACAAUUGUGGGACCGUAUUUGGGCUGAAAAUGGGUGUGGUACGGAAACCCAGAAAUGGCACGAGUUCAACAUAAAACAUGGAUUAGAAUUUUAGUGGGGGAGCAAGUCAAGUCUGGAAGUGUUACAGGAUGGAAGAGUCAGCCUGUAGUUGAAAAAACACUGAGAGUGCAUUACCGUUAAGCAAUCCUUUAUAGUUCUGUCACAGCUACAGCCUCAAAUAAUUCUGCUUCUCCUGCUGAAGAACAACUUGUCCUUUACGUUCAGAGUGUUGGUGAAACUGGGUACUUAAAUGGCCCUAAAGAUGUUUCACUUCGCUGGCAUUGCAGCAAUAAACAUCAUACAUGGACUCUUUAGGAAAAGAUUUUCAGCAUACUGGGAGCAGCACUAUUAACAAUGCAACAUUCUACGGGUGCUAUUUUAUCAUUCAAGAGCCUUAUAGAAUGAUAUUCAUCUGCAAUUUGUAUGGCCUUUCCCAAGCUUCUGCCAGAAGUUGAAUCUCUGAGUCAUGUAAGUCACGUGAGCAACAAUUGAGAUGCUUAAUGGUGUUGUUUUUCUUUUCUCAGUAUUGUUACGGAAUCGUCGAUUUUUCAACGAUUCAAACGUCUAGCUUUCGUAUCUCUGUAAGCAGAGAGACGUUUAUCGAGUCGAAGAGUGGAACAGCUAGUUCCUUGGUUGUACGGUAAAAGGAUAGGUGUACGGAAGAAGCUCCUAGUGUAAAUGGUUAAGACGGUAUUUCUGUUAUUAUUAUUAUUAUUCUAUUGUAUUGUGUCAGUGUUCAGACCGUCCGGGUAUUUAUGUUGUUGGGACGGACGGUCUGGUGAAUCAUGUUGUGUCAGUGUACAGAUCGUCCGGGUAUUUAUGUUGUUGGUACGGACGAUCUGGGUAUUGUUUCUUGGUGGUACCUGUUCGUGGUACUGGAGACCAAGGUUAUAGAGUAGGACGUUGGUAAAGACGUCCGAUUAGACUCGCCAUUUGUUCUUAAACUUAUUUAAACUAGACGGAAACGUAACAGUAUAUAUCUCAGUAUACAAUUAUUUUUGCAACUUUAAAAAGGCACAAUAACCCUUUCAAAAGUUGCCGUCAACCCAGGCAGGGGGCAGGCAUAUCUAAAAGCUAUUUACAAUCUAUGUUCCAGCUUUCAAAAUACCCCCAGUCUUCAAAUGUCAGGGCUGGUAGAUUUGAACUUAGAUCUGUGUAUUGGGGAAGUUUGGAAAAGCUGUGUUAUCGUUUAAACUGGACACUUUAUUAUUAAGGUAUGUCAAGUAUUAAUACCGCGUUUUUGCAGGUCCAGUGAAAAUGACUGACUAACUUAGAUGGCCUACGAAAGAAAAGGGGACUUUUUGAAAUUUGAAGAUAAUAAUGUAAACAAUUUGAGUGCUUUUGUGGGCAAAAUGGUGAAAGUCAAAUCUCUUUCAUUUAAUUGAGGUUAAUGAUGUAUCAUGUAUGUAAUGGAAGAAAACAGUGAUUUUAUCUGCCGUGAAUGAAGAAGAAUAAAAGUUCAAAACAUG